RNAcentral lists this ribosomal RNA (383 nucleotides) under uncultured eukaryote. Its description in RNAcentral is "partial 18S ribosomal RNA". It matches the Rfam family "Eukaryotic small subunit ribosomal RNA", at positions 592 to 976 of the family's 1831-position model. The record is from RNAcentral.
CAAUAGCGUAUAUUAAAGUUGUUGCAGUUAAAAAGCUCGUAGUUGGAUUUCUGGUGGGAGCGAUCGGUCUGGCGCUUAGCGCGAGUACUUGCAUCGUCUCCGGCCAUCCUUGGGGAGAGUCUGUCUGGCAUUAGGUUGUCGGGCAGAGGAUCCUCCUCGUUUACUGUGAAAAAAUUAGAGUGUUCAAAGCAGGCUUAUGCCGUUGAAUAUAUUAGCAUGGAAUAAUAAGAUAGGACUUUGGUACUAUUUUGUUGGUUUGCGCACCAAAGUAAUGAUUAAUAGGGACAGUUGGGGGUAUUCGUAUUCCGUUGUCAGAGGUGAAAUUCUUGGAUUUACGGAAGACGAACUACUGCGAAAGCAUUUACCAAGGAUGUUUUCAUUAA